AUUGCCGAGUCUCCGUGUUCAGGAUCAGCUCUCUCUGUCCGCCCGCGCUCUGAGUCCUGAGAUCCGGGAGCUGUAGGAGCGGUGGAUUCUCUGCAGCCUCGCCAGCGGAUUUCCGAGCAUCUUCACGUCUCUUUAUUGAACUUUAUUCAACCAAGUCCAGCAUGGAGAGCGAGAACAAGUACCUGCCGCAGCUGCUGGCGGAGAGAGACAGUCUGGACGCGUCCUUCAUCCACGCCAUGAAACUUCUCACUGCAGAAAUCGAGCGGGUUCAGAAGGACGAGCCAGAAAAAGACACAGAAACCUACUUGGAUCUUUUUACUGCAAAGAACAUCAAGCUAAAGGAACGAGUCCUCAUUCCAGUCAAGCAGUACCCAAAGUUUAACUUUGUUGGGAAGAUUCUUGGACCUCAGGGGAACACCAUCAAGAGACUGCAGGAGGAAACCGGUGCCAAGAUCUCAGUGCUGGGGAAGGGAUCCAUGCGAGACAAAGCCAAGGAGGAGGACCUGCGGCAAAGCGGCGAGCCCAAGUACGCCCACCUGUCUAUGGAGCUCCACGUGUUUAUCGAGGUGUUCGCCCCUGCGCCCGAAGCCUACAUGCGUAUGGCUAACGCCAUGGAGGAGAUCAAGAAGUUCCUCUUCCCUGACCUGAUGGAUGAAAUUUGCCAGGAACAGUUCAUGGAGAUGGGUUAUCUGAACGGCAGCGAACACAGCGUCCGGGGCAGAGGAGGCCCGCUCACCAGAGGCCGUGGAGGACCACCCAGGGGGCGUGGCAUGCCACCCAUGCGCGGUGGUGUUCCUCGUGGAGGUCCUGCGAGAGGUGGAGCCGUGAGAGGUGGGCCAGCAGCCAGAGGAGUCCCGCCGGCCCAGCCCGGCAGAGGGGGUGCUGUCAACCGCGCCCGUGCACCAGCUCCCGGACCGCAGAGGAUGCCCCCUCCGCCGCCCCGCCCUCCAGCCGAGUCUUAUGAAGAUUAUUCCUACGACGAAAGCUACGCGGAGGCCGGCUACGAAUCCUACGACAGCUAUUACAGUCAAGCACAGGGAGAAACAGAGUAUUAUGACUAUGGACAUGGAGAGGCACAAGAGGGAUAUGAAAAUUAUGCUCAAGACGACUGGAACGGAACACAGCGCGUGACCGGCGGAGGAAAAGCGCCCGCUCAGAGACCAGUGAAGGGGGCGUACAGGGAAGCCCCAUACGGACGAUACUGAACUCCUGUCAAUGUCAUCAUUCCUAACGCUCCCGUACGAUGACUGUCUCUCGCGGCAGCUCACGCUUUCCGCAGCCCGACAAAAGAGGUGCUUCCCUGAGAAACCCUGGAAUGGAAUCAGGUUUCACGUGAUCGCUCCUUCUCAGGGUGGACUGUUGAUUUGCCAUAUAGAAGUGGACCUUCAUUCAGACACCGAGAACGUUCACUUCUGCAGACACGGAGUCUUAACUGAAGUUCUGUCGGACGCCUUUCAAGUACGCUGGAGCGGAGUGCUAGCGGAGUGCGGCGGCGCAUCGGCUUAUAAAGGAGAGCAAAAGGAAAUCGAUGCCCGGCUUGGUGCUGCCAGAUCAUGCAGCAGCAGGCACUUAUUGAGCCGGAGCGGAGAGAGCUUUACUUGUUCUACAGAGUUUGCUGUGUAUGUCCGAUAUGUAUGUGGUCGCUUAUUGGAAAUGUCUGGGUCAUUGUGGUCUUUGUGAUGUUUCCGGUGCCUACGUUUGCCACAAUAAGGCAUUUCUAAAGCUCAUGUAUUAAAAAUAAGCUCUGGAAAUGACUGUUUAUAUUGUGCUUUUACUUAUGUGGGGUCUAGGUUAAGACUGUUCGAUGAUUUGGGUUUUUGACCUUUAUAGCCAAGCAACCCCCCUCCCUCCCCAAUUUAGGCGUUUCCAAUUCCCGGCUGCUUUCAGAAUUCCUCAUGCUUGCACCGCUUCCCUAGACACACAGCUCUCUGAUACCUGCCAUAUACCAGUUUCUAUCAAACAUAUACUAACUGAAUGUCCUUAAAACUUGCAGCAACGACAAUCUAUUGCAAUACCAAAGAAGGUAUAAAAAAGCGCAUUUUAAGAACAACAUAUAAGAACAAUAUACAUCGACCAGGCAUAACAUUAUGACCAUUGACCUGUGAAGUGAAUAACACUGAUUAUCUCUUCAUCUCUUAUAUUACGCAGCAAGUGAACAUUUGAUCCUCAAAGUUGAUGUUAGAAGCAGGAAAAAUGGGGGAAAACUGCAGUUCUUGUGGGGUGUUCCCGGUCUGCAGUGGUCAGUAUCUAUCAAAAGUGUUCCAAGGAAGGAACAGUGGUAAACCGGCGACAGGGUCAUCGGUGGCCAAGGCUCAUUGAUGCACGUGGGUCCGAUACAACAGAUUGCUGAAGAAGUGAAUGCUGGGUCUGAUAGGAAGGUGUCAGGAUACAUAGUGCAUCGCAGUUUGUUGCUUGUGGGGCAGCAAAAUGGGGACCAACACAAUAUUAGGACGGUGUAUAAGAACAACACUUGACGAGGACUAUAAACUAAAACAUGAGAAUUACCUACCUUUCCUGCCGUGAGUAUAACCACUGUGUAAGCAUGGUGUGAAACAUCUAAAUAAAUAAAUAAAUAAAUAGCCAUACAUGAGGGCCAAGUACUGUUUUUACACUGCUUGUACUCUGGCCAGCGGUGAAGCCUCAUACAGAGCUUUAGAACCAAUCACGGUACAGCUUUACGCAGCAGCCAACUGGGGACUCAAAUGUCCGACCUCCCUCCCGCAGAUUUUGCCAAUUGUGUCUGUUGGCUGCCCUGCAUCUUUGGUGGCACAGCUGAGAUUCAAACCCUUACCUAACUGCCCUGCAUCAUUUCCCUCCCGCCAAACCCUGCCUCUAUUUUUUUUAGAAAAACAGAUUUUAGGGGUGAUUGGUGUUCAGGUUCUGAUCUUCAUCGGGGUCAUUUGUUUUACUUCUGCACCAAAGAAAAGUGUGAGCCGCUUGUUUGUGUGUAAUAGCAAUUUAAUGUCUAACAUUUAAAAGUGUUUUUCAAUGAAUAAUAAAAGUCUAAAGUCUGAA
This is an RNA transcript of Trichomycterus rosablanca, 3015 nucleotides long. It is a transcript of the gene named KH domain containing, RNA binding, signal transduction associated 1b, with no coding region annotated. Lineage: Eukaryota; Metazoa; Chordata; Actinopteri; Siluriformes; Trichomycteridae. The record is from RefSeq and is a predicted model, not a curated record. The transcript has 11 exons.